RNAcentral lists this ribosomal RNA (492 nucleotides) under uncultured bacterium. Its description in RNAcentral is "partial 16S ribosomal RNA". It matches the Rfam family "Bacterial small subunit ribosomal RNA", at positions 29 to 507 of the family's 1533-position model. The record is from RNAcentral.
AGUGAGCGCUGGCGGUAGGCCUAACACAUGCAAGUCGAACGGCAGCACAGUAAGAGCUUGCUCUUACGGGUGGCGAGUGGCGGACGGGUGAGGAAUACAUCGGAAUCUACUUUUUCGUGGGGGAUAACGUAGGGAAACUUACGCUAAUACCGCAUACGACCUACGGGUGGAAGCAGGGGAUCUUCGGACCUUGCGCGAUUGAAUGAGCCGAUGUCGGAUUAGCUAGUUGGCGGGGUAAAGGCCCACCAAGGCGACGAUCCGUAGCUGGUCUGAGAGGAUGAUCAGCCACACUGGAACUGAGACACGGUCCAGACUCCUACGGGAGGCAGCAGUGGGGAAUAUUGGAAAAUGGGCGCAAGCCUGAUCCAGCCAUACCGCGUGGGUGAAGAAGGCCUUCGGGUUGUAAAGCCCUUUUGUUGGGAAAGAAAAGCAGCAGGUUAAUACCCCGCUGUUCUGACGGUACCCAAAGAAUAAGCACCGGCUAACUUCGUG